This is an RNA transcript of Branchiostoma belcheri (Belcher's lancelet), 1236 nucleotides long. RefSeq lists it as uncharacterized. The record is from RefSeq and is a predicted model, not a curated record. NCBI's taxonomy places the organism in Eukaryota, Metazoa, Chordata, Leptocardii, Amphioxiformes, Branchiostomatidae. The transcript has 3 exons.
UUGCUGAGGUAAUGCGAGUACAAUGUUCAAGAAUAGAUUACAUGUAUGUUUCCCUAUAAGCAGAUAGGUUUUCACAUUGUUAUGACGCCGUAGAAUUUCAAGAGCACCAAAUGACACACAAGAUACUGUAUUCUGAAAAUCGUUUCAAAACCUGAAUGGGGCAGCUAACGAUCUACGUUACGGCACGCAAUGUUGAAACACUCAGCGAAGCCAAGGAGCUUGUAACGAGGAUUGUUGAAGACAACAAAGGUGAAGAGGUACCCGACGUAAAGCCAUUCCAUGUGUCAACAAGGAAUGACGAAGAACGUCUGCGAAAGGAACUCGACUCUCACCGGCCGUGCAAAGUCCUGUGCUGCGUCGACAACAGUGCUAGGAACAUCAUCCUGUCACCCACUGAGCCUGACGAAGCAAGCCAAGUCGUCGAUGCAGCCGAAAAAUUUUGCGCUGAUGAUGGAGUAUUUCUUCUCCUCUUUGGUCAUCAUGACAUCAGCGACGAUGGACUCUACGAUGAGGAGCACUUUGACGCAAUUCUAAAUCGCCAACCUAAACUAAGACGACUGGUGGCAAAUAAAAGAUUUUUAAGUAUGGACAGUAACUUGAACAAAGGCCAGGAGCAGGCCAUUUUGAAUUGGAUAAAAGUAGAGCCGGUUUAUUCCACAAAGGACACCGAUACCGUUAAAACCACUUCAUUCUCAUCAUUUCUUUCAAAGUUGUUUGGGCGGACACGGACAGAGACUCCUAAAAGCUAAAGUAUACUACAACCUUACAUCAAAGGGGUGAACAUUUGGGGGGGGGGGGUGUUCUAAAAGAUUUCCAAUUCCGAUGGAUAUAUUCCGGAUAGUUUUAUAUUCCAUGGCAUAACAUCUGUAAAUAUGUACUAGUAUAUGUAUAUAUGUGAAUAUGUUUUAUUUGUUCGUUGUACGACUCAAAAAACUCCGUUUCAAAGAUUUUAGAUUCAAGACUUAUUGAUCAAAGUUGGGGUGACCUCUUUGAUAUUUUCCCAGCCUAGAAGAACAAUGGAAAAGUACAUCAAAGGUGAGCAAACUCAUUGACAGGUUUGUACAUAUUACAUAAGCAAAAUCAACACUAAUAUCCAUUCCCAUGCCGUACAAACAUGUUGUAACUUGAUUUUUAUGACGACAUUCUCAAACAAGCUGUCAGCUGACGCCUUGAUGUCGGCUGAAGUAUAAAAGCAAGUAGAGAGAGCGAGCGAAGUUUGUCAGAACAGAAGACUGU